RNAcentral lists this long non-coding RNA (397 nucleotides) under Coturnix japonica (Japanese quail). RNAcentral describes it as "lncRNA (ENSCJPG00005009899.1)". The record is from RNAcentral. Lineage: Eukaryota; Metazoa; Chordata; Aves; Galliformes; Phasianidae.
UAGGAAUAAAACUGUAAUGCCAAGUUCAUGAUUUCUUAGUGUGUUGCUAGGGAAGUGAUAUUAGCAAUAUUAGAAAUCAGCAUUGCGGAUUGUGCAGCAGUUGAAUGUGAUAGAAACUGAAAACACUGAUGUGUUAGCAGAAGCAGAUUUCAUUUCAAGGCAAAUAUCAUUGAUAUUUUGGAAAAACAUUGAAGAAAAAGAGGACGGUGUAUCAGAGGAAAUGAAAGAGAGUAACACUGACCAUACGAUGAUAUGAUGAAGAUUAGCUGCAAAAAGUAAUCAGCAUCAGUGCUAAAAUCAACUUUCGCUUUUCUAGAAUAGUACCUCAGGUAAGCAGUAAAUUCAACACAGGCACAUGAAAAUUUACAUUAAUUUAUCCAUAAAUUAUGCCAAUAGA